This is an unclassified non-coding RNA of Prolemur simus (greater bamboo lemur), 101 nucleotides long. It matches the Rfam family "Y RNA". Rfam says of the family: Y RNAs are components of the Ro ribonucleoprotein particle (Ro RNP), in association with Ro60 and La proteins. The Y RNAs and Ro60 and La proteins are well conserved, but the function of the Ro RNP is not known. NCBI's taxonomy places the organism in Eukaryota, Metazoa, Chordata, Mammalia, Primates, Lemuridae. The record is from Ensembl.
GGCUGGUCCCAGUACAGUGGUGUUUACAACUACUUCAUCACAACCAGUUCCAGAUUCCUUUGUUCGUUCUCCACUCCCAUACUUCACUUGACUGGCCUUUU